Long non-coding RNA from Ipomoea triloba (trilobed morning glory), 194 nucleotides. RefSeq lists it as uncharacterized. The transcript has 2 exons. The record is from RefSeq and is a predicted model, not a curated record. Lineage: Eukaryota; Viridiplantae; Streptophyta; Magnoliopsida; Solanales; Convolvulaceae.
CUUUCAUUCACGAUCAGAGUCUCUCUCUCCUUCCGUCUCUCACUCUCCGUCUGUCUCUCUCUCCAUAGCCGGCUUCUCGCUCCGGCGGUCUAAGAGGCUGAAGGAAACAUCGUCAGAUGCUGUGCAAGGGGCAGAAGAUCUUUAAGGGACUACAAACAAGCUAGGAGGCUGUGCCAGGUGUAUGAACCAAUCAA